This 433-nucleotide ribosomal RNA is filed under the name uncultured bacterium. Its description in RNAcentral is "partial 16S ribosomal RNA". It matches the Rfam family "Bacterial small subunit ribosomal RNA", at positions 29 to 507 of the family's 1533-position model. The record is from RNAcentral.
AACGAACGCUGGCGGCAUGCCUAACACAUGCAAGUCGAACGAGACCUUCGGGUCUAGUGGCGCACGGGUGCGUAACGCGUGGGAACCUGCCCUUAGGUUCGGAAUAACUCCCCGAAAGGGGUGCUAAUACCGGAUAAUGUCUUCGGACCAAAGAUUUAUCUCCUUUGGAUGGGCCCGCGUUGGAUUAGCUAGUCGGUAGGGUAAAAGCCUACCAAGGCGACGAUCCAUAGCUGGUCUGAGAGGAUGAUCAGCCACACUGGGACUGAGACACGGCCCAGACUACUACAGAAAGCAGCAGUGGGGAAUAUUGGACAAUGGGCGAAAGCAUGAUCCAGCAAUGCCGCGUGAGUGAUGAAGGCCUUAGGGUUGGAAAGCUCUUUUACCCGGGAUGAUAAUGACAUUACCGGGAGAAUAAGCUCCGGCUAACUCCGUG